RNAcentral lists this long non-coding RNA (647 nucleotides) under Phoenix dactylifera (date palm). Its description in RNAcentral is "long non-coding RNA (PDAC_LNC019127)". The record is from RNAcentral. Lineage: Eukaryota; Viridiplantae; Streptophyta; Magnoliopsida; Arecales; Arecaceae.
UCUGGCGCAACCAAUAAAACAAUACCUUCAAUAAAGAUAAACAGACACAAUCAGCAGGAGUUCCAAUUGCAAUUACAACAUAAUAAGCAAAAGGAUUGCCCUUCAUCUAUAAAGCCUAACUUUUUCAUUAUGUUUACAUUUCCUAUAUUACACUCAAUUGCAUUUUUAUGUAAAUAUAUCUCUGUAAGAAAUAAUCUGGCAAAACAAAGCCGUAACUUAAUAGUAAGGGUAAAGCAACAAGAAUCUUGCAACACCGUUGGAAUGUUAUCUCACAAGAUAACAAAAUUAACAGAAAGAAACUAAGGAAAAACCUCACUGGAAAAUAAAGCAAGCCUGAUGUCGAAGUUCCAACUAGCAAGUUAGUAACCAAAAAAAAUGAAAAUAGAGGAAAUCAAAAGAAAAAGGAUAAGCUAGCAAACGAAAAGCUGGAUUUUCAUGAGAGAUGGCAAGCCUCCAUACAACCACAUGUAAAUUGAUAGGGUAAAUCAAGUUAUUUGUAAUGUGAACUUUAUAAUGUUAUAUAACAAUCUCUAAACAGGGAAAUCCAUAUUAAAAAUAGGCACUAUUCAAUAUUUACAAUAAAUCUAAGUAAUAGAAAAGUUAUGCUGCAUACUAAAGCCUCUCUACGUCCAGGAACUGUACCUCAG